CGUCUAGUGGUGCUCUUCACCGAGUGUCACUAGUGAUCGGUACGUUUACUUUGAAAAAAUUAGAGUGCUCAAAGCGGUCUUUACACGAUCGAAUAAUGUUGCAUGGAAUAAUGAAAUAGGACUUUGGUUCUAUUUUGUUGGUCUUCGGAACCAAGGUAAUGAUUAAGAGGGACAGACGGGGGCAUUAGUAUUGCGACGCUAGAGGUGAAAUUCUUGGACCGUCGCAAGACUAACUAAAGCGAAAGCAUUUGCCAAGAAUGUNUUCAUUAAUCAAGAACGAAAGUUAGAGGUUCGAAGGCGAUCAGAUACCGCCCUAGUUCUAACCAUAAACGAUGCCAACCAGCAAUCAGCCUGUGUUCUCUUGAUGACACGGCUGGCGGCUUCCGGGAAACCAAAGUCUUUCGGUUCCAGGGGAAGUAUGGUUGCAAAGCUGAAACUUAAAGGAAUUGACGGAAGGGCACCACCAGGAGUGGAGCCUGCGGCUUAAUUUGACUCAACACGGGGAAACUCACCCGGCCCGGACACUGUGAGGAUUGACAGGUUGAAGCCCUUUCUUGAUUCAGUGGGUGGUGGUGCAUGGCCGUUCUUAGUUGGUGGAGUGAUUUGUCUGGUUAAUUCCGAUAACGAACGAGACUCUAGCCUACUAAUUAGACUGAGGCAUCCUUCGUGCUGCCUCAGCGCUUCCUAGAGGGACAGGCGGCGUUUCAGCCGUAUGAGAAAGAGCAAUAACAGGUCUGUGAUGCCCUUAGAUGUCCGGGGCCGCACGCGCGCUACACUGAAGAGAUCAGCGUGUAUGUGCAUCCUACUCCGAAAGGAGCGGGAAACCGAGUGAACCCUUUUCGUGCUUGGGAUUGGGGAUUGUAAUUAU
RNAcentral lists this ribosomal RNA (868 nucleotides) under uncultured metazoan. RNAcentral's name for it is "SSU rRNA". It matches the Rfam family "Eukaryotic small subunit ribosomal RNA", at positions 707 to 1593 of the family's 1831-position model. The record is from RNAcentral. Lineage: Eukaryota; Metazoa.